This 522-nucleotide transfer RNA is filed under the name uncultured delta proteobacterium. RNAcentral describes it as "partial 16S-23S ribosomal RNA intergenic spacer". The stretch from base 186 to 258 matches the Rfam family "tRNA". Lineage: Bacteria; Deltaproteobacteria. The record is from RNAcentral.
CCUCCUUUCUAAGGAGUAAUUCCGAUCUUGUAUCGGGAUAUGGUCGAACUCAGAUCCUUGUGAUCACGCAUACCCUUUAUUUGGGCUUGUAGCUCAGGUGGUUAGAGCGCAUCCCUGAUAAGGAUGAGGUCCGUGGUUCGAGUCCACGCAGGCCCACUUGAUCUACCGCCAACCAUAGUUAUUAUGGGGCUGUAGCUCAGUUGGGAGAGCGCCUGAUUUGCAUUCAGGAGGUCGCAGGUUCGAUCCCUGUCAGCUCCACCAAAGAUUUAUGGAGGUCGUCCCGAUUCGUCGGGAUCAGCUCCACCAAAUUUUUUUUGUUCUUUGAAAAUUGGGAAUUGAUGUCGAUUCACAAAUGUGAAUCGUCUUCUGCAAUCUGCGGAAGGCGGUAACUUCAUUUUGUGACACUAAAAAUAAAUAGUGAAAUCGUCUCUUGUCUUCGGAUAAGAGAGGAUCAUUCACGUGAUCAAGAGCCUUUGGUAAAGCUACUAAGAGCGUAUGGAGGAUGCCUAGGCACAUGGAGGC